GGGGGCGAACCGGGUUCGACGGAGACACGAAGGCUGUGGUCGCACGCCGGGUGGCGCUGACCCGUAAAACAGGCGCACUGCGAAAUUUACCCGCAGACAAUAACGGUUACGCUCUGGCGGCCUAAGGGCCGCUAGCGUUCCGCCGCCGUUCGCCCAUGACGGCGGGCCGGAACGUCAUUUAGUGGGCUAGGGUGCGAUGGUUCACCGGUUGCAUCGAGGCCCGAAACUUAAAUCGGUUGGCUUCGGCACAGCCCGUCCGUGGGCGAUGCCGCGGCGAGCUACAAAUCGCGGACUAAGCGUGUAGUGGCCAUCGCCGGACUAUCUUCGGACGGGGGUUCAAUUCCCCCCGCCUCCACCA
RNAcentral lists this transfer-messenger RNA (358 nucleotides) under Deltaproteobacteria bacterium. It matches the Rfam family "transfer-messenger RNA". Rfam says of the family: Bacterial tmRNA, also known as 10Sa RNA or SsrA, is named for its dual tRNA and mRNA-like properties. Its role is to liberate the mRNA from a stalled ribosome. The record is from RNAcentral. RNAcentral also lists the same sequence under 1 other name. Lineage: Bacteria; Pseudomonadati; Myxococcota; Myxococcia.